RNAcentral lists this non-coding RNA (45 nucleotides) under Trichobilharzia regenti. The record is from RNAcentral. Lineage: Eukaryota; Metazoa; Platyhelminthes; Trematoda; Strigeidida; Schistosomatidae.
AUCCAGAUGAUGAGUCCUAAAUAGGACGAAAUGCGAAUCCUGGAU